Molecule: long non-coding RNA, 974 nt
Organism: Hippocampus zosterae (dwarf seahorse)
Lineage: Eukaryota; Metazoa; Chordata; Actinopteri; Syngnathiformes; Syngnathidae
Exons: 2
Source: RefSeq, a predicted model, not a curated record
AAGAAAAAGUGUGUGGAGCAGGCACGCUUAGGUACAAGCGUGAGUGACAUAGAAAAAGCUUUGCUGUCAAAAUGGGAUGGAAUGAAGUCCCAGUUGAAUAAGCAAGCAGUACGACACCCCGUUCAUCUGAAUGUGUUUCACCACUGUGGUUGAAAUCACUGGACCGAGAGGUGCGUUACUCUUACAAAUUGGAGCUGAGGACAGUGACGACACACGAAAAAGGUAACACUGUGCAAAACCGCACUUAUACAUGUCGCUGUCUAAUAAAAGUGCUGAUCGGAGAUCUCAAAGCUCACAUGGACACAGAAGAACACAUAAAAGCUGUAGAUGAGGACGGUUGACUGAGUUCCUUCAUUCUUAAACCUGGGAAGACAGGAUGGAGAAGAAAACAAAUUUAAGGAAGAAAGACAAAGACGAACGUGACAUUUUUUUCUUUCUUAAAUCAAUAUCCUUGUGAGACUACUGUUUAAUUAUUUACAUAACUACACUGAGAAUAAAGAAAGAUUUUGUUCAAGCUGGAUUUUCUACAGAAGAGUUAAUAUUUAGAACAUUGUGAUAUUAUUUAUUUGUCAAAUAAGAUUUCAAAAGAGAGCGACGAUGAUCUUUUUUUAAUUUUUUUUUUUCCUACCCAGGUCGGCAAGGUCGAUGACUGGUUAGCACGUCCACAUUGCAGUGCAGAGGUCGUUGGUUUAGAGCUGGCUCUGGUCUCCCUGUGUGGAGUUUGCAUGUUCUGUCAGUGCCUGUGAGUUUCUUUACUCUUAGGUAAAAUGGAUUAAUGGAUGGAUGUUGUUCUACUUCACCGCGGCUGACCUGUGAUUCAAAGAAAAACAUUUCUAGAAUCUCGUGACCUCAGACAUAAAUACCUUUGGUUGUGUUAUAUUGUUUCUGUUAUUUUAUGUUAAUUGUUCUGUAAAGCGCUUUGUUACAGCUGCAGCCAUUGUGAAAGCUCCAUAUGAAUAAAUAUGCAUUGUAUU